AGAGUUUGAUCAUGGCUCAGGACGAACGCUGGCGGCGUGCUUAACACAUGCAAGUCGAACGAUGAUGACCGGAGCUUGCUUUGGUUGGAUUAGUGGCGAACGGGUGAGUAACACGUGAGUAACCUGCCCCCUUCUUCGGGAUAACCAUUGGAAACGGUGGCUAAUACCGGGUAUGACAUCAGAUCGCAUGGUUUGGUGUGGAAAGGUUUUUUCUGGUGGGGGAUGGGCUCGCGGCCUAUCAGCUUGUUGGUGGGGUGAUGGCCUACCAAGGCUUUGACGGGUAGCCGGCCUGAGAGGGCGACCGGCCACACUGGGACUGAGACACGGCCCAGACUCCUACGGGAGGCAGCAGUGGGGAAUAUUGCACAAUGGGGGAAACCCUGAUGCAGCGACGCCGCGUGGGGGAUGAAGGCCUUCGGGUUGUAAACCCCUUUCAGUAAGGAACAAGGCCAUGAUUGUUGUUGUGGUUGAGGGUACUUGCAGAAGAAGCGCCGGCUAACUACGUGCCAGCAGCCGCGGUAAUACGUAGGGCGCAAGCGUUGUCCGGAAUUAUUGGGCGUAAAGAGCUCGUAGGCGGUUUGUCGCGUCUGUCGUGAAAUCCCGAUGCUUAACGUCGGGCUUGCGGUGGGUACGGGCAGGCUGGAGUGCGGUAGGGGUGACUGGAAUUCCUGGUGUAGCGGUGGAAUGCGCAGAUAUCAGGAGGAACACCGAUGGCGAAAGCAGGUCACUGGGCCGUUACUGACGCUGAUGAGCGAAAGCAUGGGGAGCGAACAGGAUUAGAUACCCUGGUAGUCCAUGCCGUAAACGUUGGGCACUAGGUGUGGGGAUUGUUCCACGAUUUCCUGUACCGUAGCUAACGCAUUAAGUGCCCCGCUGGGGAGUACGGCGCAGGCUAAAACUCAAGGAUUGACGG
Molecule: ribosomal RNA, 913 nt
Filed under: uncultured bacterium
Lineage: Bacteria
Description: bacterial SSU rRNA
Rfam family: Bacterial small subunit ribosomal RNA
Source: RNAcentral